Molecule: ribosomal RNA, 749 nt
Filed under: uncultured bacterium
Lineage: Bacteria
Description: bacterial SSU rRNA
Rfam family: Bacterial small subunit ribosomal RNA
Source: RNAcentral
AUUAGAUACCCUGGUAGUCCACGCCCUAAACGAUGUCUACUAGUUGUCGGGGAUUCAUUUCCUUGGUAACGCAGCUAACGCGUGAAGUAGACCGCCUGGGGAGUACGGCCGCAAGGUUAAAACUCAAAGGAAUUGACGGGGACCCGCACAAGCGGUGGAUGAUGUGGAUUAAUUCGAUGCAACGCGAAAAACCUUACCUACGCUUGACAUGCCAGGAACUUUCCAGAGAUGGAUUGGUGCCCGAAAGGGAACCUGGACACAGGUGCUGCAUGGCUGUCGUCAGCUCGUGUCGUGAGAUGUUGGGUUAAGUCCCGCAACGAGCGCAACCCUUAUCCUUAGUUGCUACGCAAGGGCACUCUAGGGAGACUGCCGGUGACAAACCGGAGGAAGGUGGGGAUGACGUCAAGUCCUCAUGGCCCUUAUGUGUAGGGCUUCACACGUCAUACAAUGGUCGGUACAGAGGGUCGCCAACCCGCGAGGGGGAGCCAAUCCCAGAAAACCGAUCGUAGUCCGGAUUGCAGUCUGCAACUCGACUGCAUGAAGUCGGAAUCGCUAGUAAUCGCGGAUCAGCAUGUCGCGGUGAAUACGUUCCCGGGUCUUGUACACACCGCCCGUCACACCAUGGGAGUGGGUUCUACCAGAAGUAGGUAGCCUAACCGCAAGGAGGGCGCUUACCACGGUAGGGCUCAUGACUGGGGUGAAGUCGUAACAAGGUAGCCGUAUCGGAAGGUGCGGCUGGAUCACCUCCU